CUCUGGUAUUGAUUGGUGCUUGCAUCAUGAUUUACAUUUGAGUGAGUGGCGAACUGGUGAGUAACACGUGGGAAACCUGCCCAGAAGCGGGGGAUAACACCUGGAAACAGAUGCUAAUACCGCAUAACAACUUGGACCGCAUGGUCCGAGCUUGAAAGAUGGCUUCGGCUAUCACUUUUGGAUGGUCCCGCGGCGUAUUAGCUAGAUGGUGGGGUAACGGCUCACCAUGGCAAUGAUACGUAGCCGACCUGAGAGGGUAAUCGGCCACAUUGGGACUGAGACACGGCCCAAACUCCUACGGGAGGCAGCAGUAGGGAAUCUUCCACAAUGGACGAAAGUCUGAUGGAGCAACGCCGCGUGAGUGAAGAAGGGUUUCGGCUCGUAAAACUCUGUUGUUAAAGAAGAACAUAUCUGAGAGUAACUGUUCAGGUAUUGACGGUAUUUAACCAGAAAGCCACGGCUAACUACGUGCCAGCAGCCGCGGUAAUACGUAGGUGGCAAGCGUUGUCCGGAUUUAUUGGGCGUAAAGCGAGCGCAGGCGGUUUUUUAAGUCUGAUGUGAAAGCCUUCGGCUCAACCGAAGAAGUGCAUCGGAAACUGGGAAACUUGAGUGCAGAAGAGGACAGUGGAACUCCAUGUGUAGCGGUGAAAUGCGUAGAUAUAUGGAAGAACACCAGUGGCGAAGGCGGCUGUCUGGUCUGUAACUGACGCUGAGGCUCGAAAGUAUGGGUAGCAAACAGGAUUAGAUACCCUGGUAGUCCAUACCGUAAACGAUGAAUGCUAAGUGUUGGAGGGUUUCCGCCCUUCAGUGCUGCAGCUAACGCAUUAAGCAUUCCGCCUGGGGAGUACGGCCGCAAGGCUGAAACUCAAAGGAAUUGACGGGGGCCCGCACAAGCGGUGGAGCAUGUGGUUUAAUUCGAAGCUACGCGAAGAACCUUACCAGGUCUUGACAUACUAUGCAAAUCUAAGAGAUUAGACGUUCCCUUCGGGGACAUGGAUACAGGUGGUGCAUGGUUGUCGUCAGCUCGUGUCGUGAGAUGUUGGGUUAAGUCCCGCAACGAGCGCAACCCUUAUUAUCAGUUGCCAGCAUUAAGUUGGGCACUCUGGUGAGACUGCCGGUGACAAACCGGAGGAAGGUGGGGAUGACGUCAAAUCAUCAUGCCCCUUAUGACCUGGGCUACACACGUGCUACAAUGGAUGGUACAACGAGUUGCGAACUCGCGAGAGUAAGCUAAUCUCUUAAAGCCAUUCUCAGUUCGGAUUGUAGGCUGCAACUCGCCUACAUGAAGUCGGAAUCGCUAGUAAUCGCGGAUCAGCAUGCCGCGGUGAAUACGUUCCCGGGCCUUGUACACACCGCCCGUCACACCAUGAGAGUUUGUAACACCCAAAGUCGGUGGGGUAACCUUUUAGGAACCA
This 1415-nucleotide ribosomal RNA is filed under the name Lactiplantibacillus plantarum. Its description in RNAcentral is "bacterial SSU rRNA". It matches the Rfam family "Bacterial small subunit ribosomal RNA". Lineage: Bacteria; Bacillati; Bacillota; Bacilli; Lactobacillales; Lactobacillaceae. The record is from RNAcentral.